Cordylochernes scorpioides is the source of this 74-nucleotide non-coding RNA. Lineage: Eukaryota; Metazoa; Arthropoda; Arachnida; Pseudoscorpiones; Chernetidae. The record is from the annotation of a GenBank genome assembly.
UUCCCAGGGAUGGGAAUCGAACCCACAGUAUUCCGCUCACUGGGCAGAUGCCAUGUCCACUAGGCUACCCUGGA